GCUAAGCCCUAAACAUUGAUUUAACCAUAAUACAACACUCUCCGCCAGAGAACUACAAGUGAAAAACUUGAAACUCAAAGGACUUGACGGUGUCCCAUAUCGACCUAGAGGAGCCUGUCCUAUAAUCGAUAACCCCCGUUCCACCCUACCCUAACUAGCAUAUCAGCUUAUAUACCGCCGUCGACAGCCUACCCCUUGAGGGUUAAACAGUAGACACAACUGCUCAACCGUUAAUACGUCAGGUCAAGGUGUAGCACAUGUUAGGGAAGCGAUUGGCUACAUUUUUUAUUUUAAAAGAUACGAAAGGCACUAUGAAACAAUGCAUGAAGGUGAAUUUAGUAGUAAAGUAGAUAAGAGUACCUGCUUUAACAACGCUCUGGGACGCGUACACACCGCCCGUCACCCUCCUCAAAACAAACAUUAUUUUUAUAUAAAUCAAAAUUUAAUACAAGAGGAGGU
This 459-nucleotide ribosomal RNA is filed under the name Zootoca vivipara (common lizard). RNAcentral describes it as "partial 12S ribosomal RNA". It matches the Rfam family "Bacterial small subunit ribosomal RNA", at positions 794 to 1482 of the family's 1533-position model. The record is from RNAcentral. Lineage: Eukaryota; Metazoa; Chordata; Lepidosauria; Squamata; Lacertidae.